AAAAACAUCGCCUCCCGCAAAACUCAAUGUAUAGGAGGUCUUGCCUGCCCAGUGAACUAGUUUAAACGGCCGCGGUAUCUUGACCGUGCAAAGGUAGCGCAAUCACUUGUCUUUUAAAUGAAGACCUGUAUGAAUGGUGGAACGAGGGCUUAACUGUCUCCCCCCUUAGGUCAGUGAAAUUGAUCUGCCCGUGCAGAAGCGGACAUAAAAAUACAAGACGAGAAGACCCUUUGGAGCUUAAGACACCAAGACCAACUAUGUCAAAAACCUCUUACAACACAGGUUAAACUUAAUAGCCCCUGGUCCUAGUCUUCGGUUGGGGCGACCGCGGGGGAAAACAAAGCCCCCACAUGGAAUGGGGAAACCCCCCAAAACCAAGAAGCACACUUCCAAGGCACAGAACAUCUGACCACUACAGAUCCGGCCUAACGGCCGAUCAACGGACCAAGUUACCCCAGGGAUAACAGCGCAAUCCCCUCCCAGAGUCCCUAUCGACAAGGGGGUUUACGACCUCGAUGUUGGAUCAGGACAUCCUAAUGGUGCAGCCGCUAUUAAGGGUUCGUUUGUUCAACGAUUAAAGUCCUACGUGAUCUGAG
This 596-nucleotide ribosomal RNA is filed under the name Phago sp. AMNH233627. RNAcentral's name for it is "partial 16S large subunit ribosomal RNA". It matches the Rfam family "Bacterial large subunit ribosomal RNA", at positions 1809 to 2609 of the family's 2925-position model. Lineage: Eukaryota; Metazoa; Chordata; Actinopteri; Characiformes; Citharinidae. The record is from RNAcentral.